RNAcentral lists this ribosomal RNA (253 nucleotides) under uncultured bacterium. RNAcentral's name for it is "partial 16S ribosomal RNA". It matches the Rfam family "Bacterial small subunit ribosomal RNA", at positions 524 to 776 of the family's 1533-position model. The record is from RNAcentral.
UACAGGGGGGGCAAGCGUUGUUCGGAAUUACUGGGCGUAAAGGGCUCGUAGGUGGCCAACUAAGUCAGACGUGAAAUCCCUCAGCUUAACCGGGGAACUGCGUCUGAUACUGGAUGGCUUGAGUUUGGGAGAGGGAUGCGGAAUUCCAGGUGUAGCGGUGAAAUGCGUAGAUAUCUGGAGGAACACCGGUGGCGAAGGCGGCAUCCUGGACCAACACUGACACUGAUGAGCGAAAGCCAGGGGAGCAAACGGG